This 185-nucleotide unclassified non-coding RNA is filed under the name uncultured Herpotrichiellaceae. Its description in RNAcentral is "sequence contains ITS2". The record is from RNAcentral. Lineage: Eukaryota; Fungi; Ascomycota; Eurotiomycetes; Chaetothyriales; Herpotrichiellaceae.
UCACCAGGUCAAGCAUGGCUUGUUGUUGGAUGGUUUUGGUGGGACCUGCAGCGUCUCACCCCUCCUAAAGACAAUGACGGCGGCUUCGUUGGACCCCCGGUACACUGAGCUUCUUAACUGAGCACGUACUGGAUACGGGUGCGCGGGGCACGGUCUGCCUCCCCUCAGGGAGAACUUUUUUACAA